RNAcentral lists this ribosomal RNA (460 nucleotides) under uncultured bacterium. RNAcentral describes it as "partial 16S ribosomal RNA". It matches the Rfam family "Bacterial small subunit ribosomal RNA", at positions 338 to 795 of the family's 1533-position model. The record is from RNAcentral.
CCUACGGGUGGCAGCAGUGAGGAAUAUUGGUCAAUGGACGAGAGUCUGAACCAGCCAAGUAGCGUGAAGGAUGACUGCCCUAUGGGUUGUAAACUUCUUUUAUAUGGGAAUAAAAUGUUCCACGUGUGGGAUUUUGUAUGUACCAUAUGACUAAGGAUCGGCUAACUCCGUGCCAGCAGCCGCGGUAAUACGGAGGAUCCGAGCGUUAUCCGGAUUUAUUGGGUUUAAAGGGAGCGUAGGUGGAUUGUUAAGUCAGUUGUGAAAGUUUGCGGCUCAACCGUAAAAUUGCAGUUGAAACUGGCAGUCUUGAGUACAGUAGAGGUGGGCGGAAUUCGUGGUGUAGCGGUGAAAUGCUUAGAUAUCACGAAGAACUCCGAUUGCGAAGGCAGUUCACUGGACUGCAACUGACACUGAGGCUCGAAAGUGUGGGUAUCAAACAGGAUUAGAUACCCUAGUAGUC